This 484-nucleotide ribosomal RNA is filed under the name uncultured bacterium. RNAcentral describes it as "partial 16S ribosomal RNA". It matches the Rfam family "Bacterial small subunit ribosomal RNA", at positions 899 to 1397 of the family's 1533-position model. The record is from RNAcentral.
ACUCAAAUGAAUUGACGGGGGCCCGCACAAGCAGCGGAGCGUGUGGUUUAAUUCGACGCAACGCGCAGAACCUUACCAGGUCUUGACAUACAUAGGAAGUUGUUAGAGAUAGCAACGCUUUUCGGAGCCUAUGCACAGAUGCUGCAUGGCUGUCGUCAGCUCGUGCCGUGAGGUGUUGGGUUAAGUCCCGCAACGAGCGCAACCCUCGUCGCUAGUUGUACUUUUCUAGCGAGACCGCUGUGCAAAACGCAGAGGAAGGUGGGGAUGACGUCAAGUCAGCACGGCUCUUACGACCUGGGCUACACACACGCUACAAUGGACGGUACAACGGGUUGCUAAGCCGCGAGGUGGAGCUAAUCCCAUCAAAACCGUCCUCAGUUCAGAUUGCAGGCUGAAACUCGCCUGCAUGAAGUCGGAGUUGCUAGUAACCGCAGGUCAGCACACUGCGGUGAAUACGUUCCCGGGCCUUGUACACACCGCCCGU